RNAcentral lists this ribosomal RNA (392 nucleotides) under uncultured bacterium. RNAcentral's name for it is "bacterial SSU rRNA". It matches the Rfam family "Bacterial small subunit ribosomal RNA", at positions 355 to 742 of the family's 1533-position model. The record is from RNAcentral.
UGAGGAAUAUUGGUCAAUGGGGCGGAAGCCUGAACCAGCCAAGUCGCGUGCGGGACGAAGGCCCUACGGGUCGCAGACCGCUUUUGCGCGGGGGAUAACGGCCGUCUUGCGAGACGGCGUGAAGGUACCGUGCGAAUAAGGAUCGGCUAACUCCGUGCCAGCAGCCGCGGUAAUACGGAGGAUCCGAGCGUUAUCCGGAUUCAUUGGGUUUAAAGGGUGCGCAGGCGGGCCUGCAAGCCCGCGGUGAAACCCCGGGGCUCAACCCCGGGCCUGCCGCGGGAACUGCCGGCCUUGAGUCGCGGCGAGGGCUGCGGAACGCGGGGUGUAGCGGUGAAAUGCGUAGAUAUUAGGGGGAACACCAGUGGCGAAGGCGGCCAACUGGGCUUUUACUG